UUUUUUGGUACCAGGGAUCGAACUCGGGUCCUUGCACUUGCGCUGCAGGCGACGAAACCACUGAGCUAAAUCCCCGGCCCCUGUUACAUAUAUUUUUAAUUACCAUAGAAUUAUAAAGUGAAGUGCAAGACAGGAACAGGAGUGAUGAUUCACUCUACCUCUCCAUGUCUGUACCUCAUUACAGUCUGAAAGCUUCCUGGGAUGUCAGGAAAUGGUAUAGGUGGAAUUCCUUCUGAGCCCAAAAUUUCAGUGACCAUGGUGCACUGAGGGGUAUAGCUAUGCCUCACACACAGCAAGCACUGCAGAGAAACUGCAGUUGCAUUAAAGCCACUUUGGAUAUGAUUGUUCACUUUGCAAUAAAAUUCCAUUAAUUACCAAACCCUCGCCCAGCUUGAGUAUCAUAGGAUUUAAUUGGGUAGAAAGGUAAUUUUCAAACAAUUUUUUAGAUACAUCACUUAUUUAAAGGACCACAUACACCUAAAAAAGUAAUACUGUGGCACCUUUUGGGCUUAUAAAAAAUUGAAUGCAAUCAAGGUAACACAUGUCUAACAAAAUAAGAUAUUUUCUUUUUUAAGUGCAAAUACAGGUCCUGUUGGAGUGAAUGGAUACCACCUUCUUAUGAAAUAGCAUUUCCCUACCAUCAAGCCAUUGUUUCGUGCCAUUUAGGAGAGGGUGAAGAAAAGCAAUUCAGGCUUUGUUUCAGCUCAGUGUAUGACCAAAAGCAAUAUGUUUGUAAGAAAAUUUUUAACAUACUAAUUAUUUUAUAUCAUUUAAGUAUACUGUUGCAACUAGUUUAAUAUAUGUGAUUAAUUUUUACAAUUUCCAACCAAAUGUACUGUACAGUUAUAUAAUUAUUAUGAGAACCAUCUUAUGGAAACCAUUAAGAAGAAAAAUGGGACAAACAUCACAUUAAUCGGUAUUACCAAUUUCCUAAAAACCCUGUUCUAAUGUGAAUUUGAAAUGAUCUGACAGAGUCUCCUAAUCUCAGAUAUGUCAGUGCCGAUAGCAGUUUAAUUAGUUGCUUUGCUUACAACAGAGUAACUGAGACUUUAUUUAUUUAUGAAGCAAAUAUUCUUAAUAAUGAGAAGAUAGGCUGACAGAAAACCACUGAAGUAAGAACCUUCUGAAAUAAAAUUUUGCUUUUUAGUUUGUCCUAAGUGUUUAAUAAUGUUGAUUUUAUGUAAGGAAAAUGCUCAUGUUCCAAAUAAAGUUACAAUUUAAG
Molecule: long non-coding RNA, 1222 nt
Organism: Heterocephalus glaber (naked mole-rat)
Lineage: Eukaryota; Metazoa; Chordata; Mammalia; Rodentia; Bathyergidae
Source: Ensembl